CCGUAAGGGAUCACAGUAAAGUAUUAGUGGGUCAGUUCAUUUACUUUGAGUAAAUUAGAGUGUUCAAAGCAGCCUGUAUGGGCAUUGAAUAGAUUAGCAUGGGAUAAUAGAAUAGGAUUCUUAUCUAUUUAUUGGUUUAUAGAUUUAGAAUAAUGAUUAAUAGGGAUAGUUGGGGGCACUUGUAUUCAAUAGUCAGAGGUGAAAUUCUAGGAUUUAUUGAAGACAAACUUCAGCGAAAGCAUUUGCCAAGGAUGUUUUCAUUAAUCAAGAACGAAAGUUAGGGGAUCGAAGACGAUUAGACACCGUCGUAGUCUUAACUAUAAACUAUGCCGACCAGGGAUAUGAGAGUUAUUUAUUUAUACUAUGAACAAUAGUAUAAUCUCUUGUGGACCUUGUGAGAAAUCAUAAGUUUUUGGGUUCUGGGGGGG
This 428-nucleotide ribosomal RNA is filed under the name uncultured eukaryote. RNAcentral's name for it is "bacterial SSU rRNA". It matches the Rfam family "Eukaryotic small subunit ribosomal RNA", at positions 712 to 1122 of the family's 1831-position model. The record is from RNAcentral.